AUUGAACGCUGGCGGCAUGCCUAACACAUGCAAGUCGAACGGUAACGGGGCGUCGGCUGCUGGCGUGUGGGGCAGGGGGGUGUGUAAUACCGAAACAUCUGCGUGCGUGGGGGGGAAAGCGGCCAAAGCUGGGCGCUUAUACCACACGCGCCAUGGAGGAGAGCGGGGGAGCGCAUGGGCUCGCGCGCUCGGAGCGGAGGAUGGGGGAUUAGGUAGUUGGUGGGAUAAAAGCUUACCAAGGCGACGAUCUGUAGCUGGUCUGAGAGGAUGAUCAGCCACACUGGAACUGAGACACGGCCCAGACUCCUACGGGAGGCAGCAGUGGGGAAUAUUGGACAAUGGGCGAAAGCCUGAUCCAGCCAUGCCGCGUGCGGGAAGAAGGCCUUCGGGUUGUAAAGCGCUUUUGUUCGGAACGAAAAGCAUUAUGUUAAUACAGGGGUGUCAUGACGGUACCGAAAGAAUAAGCACCGGCUAACUACGUG
This 482-nucleotide ribosomal RNA is filed under the name uncultured bacterium. RNAcentral describes it as "partial 16S ribosomal RNA". It matches the Rfam family "Bacterial small subunit ribosomal RNA", at positions 29 to 507 of the family's 1533-position model. The record is from RNAcentral.